Molecule: ribosomal RNA, 494 nt
Filed under: uncultured bacterium
Lineage: Bacteria
Description: partial 16S ribosomal RNA
Rfam family: Bacterial small subunit ribosomal RNA
Source: RNAcentral
GACGAACGCUGGCGGCGCGCUUAACACAUGCAAGUCGAACGGAAAGGCCUGCUUUCCCUUGUGGAUUGCGGGUACUCGAGUGGCGAACGGGUGAGUAACACGUGAGUGAUCUGCCCCCAACUUGGGUAUAAGCCUGGGAAACUGGGUCUAAUUCCCGAUAGGACUGCAGGGUGGUGCCUGUGGUGGAAAACGAUUUUCUAGUGGUUGGGGAUGAGCUCGCGGCCUAUCAGCUUGUUGGUGGGGUAAUGGCCUACCAAGGCGGCGACGGGUAGCCGGCCUGGGAGGGUGGACGGCGACAUUGGGACUGAGAGACGGCCCAGACUCCUACGGGAGGCAGCAGUGGGGAAUAUUGCACAAUGGGCGGAAGCCUGAUGCAGCGACGCCGCGUGGGGGAUGACGGCCUUCGGGUUGUAAACUCCUUUCGACCGCGAGGAAGCCACCUGGUUGGAAGGGUGGUGACGGUAGUGGUAGAAGAAGCACCGGCUAACUACGUG